Molecule: ribosomal RNA, 252 nt
Filed under: uncultured bacterium
Lineage: Bacteria
Description: partial 16S ribosomal RNA
Rfam family: Bacterial small subunit ribosomal RNA
Source: RNAcentral
GACGAACCGUGCGAACGUUGUUCGGAAUCACUGGCUUAAAGGGCGCGUAGGCGGUCUGCCAAGUCCGGGGUGAAAGCCCCCAGCUCAACUGGGGAAGUGCCUUGGAUACUGGCGGACUCGAGGGAGGCAGGGGUUGUGGGAACUUCCGGUGGAGCGGUGAAAUGCGUUGAUAUCGGAAGGAACGCCGGUGGCGAAAGCGCACAACUGGUCCUCUUCUGACGCUGAGGCGCGAAAGCCAGGGGAGCAAACGGG